This 781-nucleotide ribosomal RNA is filed under the name uncultured bacterium. RNAcentral describes it as "bacterial SSU rRNA". It matches the Rfam family "Bacterial small subunit ribosomal RNA", at positions 42 to 810 of the family's 1533-position model. The record is from RNAcentral.
GCAGGCUUAACACAUGCAAGUCGAGGGGCAGCGGGGGGCGCGCUUGCGCGUCCCGCCGGCGACCGGCGCACGGGUGAGUAACACGUAUGCAACCUGCCCCCGCCAGGGGUACAACCCUCCGAAAGGGGGGCUGAUACCGCGUACAUCCCCCGGGGGCAUCCCCGGGGGAGGAAAGCCCUACGGGGCGGGCGGGGAUGGGCAUGCGGCGCAUUAGGAAGACGGCGGUGUGACGGACCACCGUUCCGACGAUGCGUAGGGGUUCUGAGAGGAAGGCCCCCCACACUGGUACUGAGACACGGACCAGACUCCUACGGGAGGCAGCAGUGAGGAAUAUUGGUCAAUGGCCGGAAGGCUGAACCAGCCAAGCCGCGUGAGGGAGGAAGGCGCAGAGCGUCGCAGACCUCUUUUGCCGGGGGACAAAAGGCCGGACUCGUCCGGUCCUGAGGGUACCCGGAGAAAAAGCAUCGGCUAACUCCGUGCCAGCAGCCGCGGUAAUACGGAGGAUGCGAGCGUUAUCCGGAUUCAUUGGGUUUAAAGGGUGCGCAGGCGGGCCUUUAAGCCGGCGGUGAAAUCGCGGGGCUCAACCCCGCCGAGCCGUCGGAACUGGGGGCCUUGAGUGCGGCGGAGGCAUGCGGAAUGCGCGGUGUAGCGGUGAAAUGCAUAGAUAUCGCGCAGAACCCCGAUUGCGAAGGCAGCGUGCCGUGCCGCCACUGACGCUGAGGCACGAAAGCGCGGGGAUCGAACAGGAUUAGAUACCCUGGUAGUCCGCGCCGUAAACGAU